This is a long non-coding RNA of Cuculus canorus (common cuckoo), 2788 nucleotides long. RefSeq lists it as uncharacterized. The record is from RefSeq and is a predicted model, not a curated record. The transcript is spliced from 16 exons. Lineage: Eukaryota; Metazoa; Chordata; Aves; Cuculiformes; Cuculidae.
CAGCAUCCAGCAAGGACACUUCUUCACAAGGCAACAGUUGAGGACCGAUACUUGCUUAAGCCAGCGUGAAGCAUUGUCCUAGAUUGACACGAAAUACGUAUGGAAAGGCAGAGCCUUUAUCCUCUGUGGGAUGAAUUCAGACCAGGUUCCUAUCUGCUUUGGCUACUGUCAAGUGAAUCCUUCUGAUGCCGGGCUGGAGAAGAUGCCACUGAAAGGGAAGACAGAGCCUUCGAUAGAUUUCUAAUAAAGAUCAGGGGAUGUUAAUGAACCCCACGGGUCCUGCAAGAGAGAGCCACCCUGCUAGGAUUGCAUGACUUCUGACCUGCCUUCUAUGGGAUGCUCACACCAGCACCAGAGAAAUGCAAAGACCGGUAGAAAGCAAGUGAAAAGGAUCUACAUCUAUGUCCUGUGCGGUUCUCCAGCCACAGCAAGAGGUACAUUGAAAGGAACACUUCCAGAAAAGGCCCGAGUACGUAAUUUGAACAUUAAUUAGCAUUAAUGUUCAGCAUCGUUCUGUUACCUGGCUGCAGCCCAGUGCAUGUUGACAUGUGCUGGUAGUGUGUAAGCGGUGACUCUUCAUAGGUGGGUUCAUGAUCUAGGAAUUUUCCACGUCCCAUCAGAACUACUACUAGAAUUUGAAGAACGGAUGAAGGAAACCCUGCUUAUUAUGUAAGAUGACAGCAGAAACAUGGUUUUGUUUACAUUUAAAGCAGUUCGGGUUUGGCUUAGGAAGAUAUGGGUUGGAGGAGAACCUACCCUUCAUAUUUUUAAAGUGUGAAUGAGCUGAAGAUACUGGAAGAUGUGUUCCCCUGGGAGCCAGGAGCUCCCAUUUUCACAUGAAAACCUUGGAGUGAGUUAUCACAAUCGGUGUUCCACAGUCCUUGAAAUCGGAAAUGAUACUGGUUCCCAGUAUGAGACUGGGAGAGCUGCUCUGAGGUGACGGCUGCAUUGUGUGACGCUAUCAGCUGCUGGGGUACAGGGUGUCUAUUUAAAUUCUACUUUGAUUGGCCUGUUGGAUUUGCAGAAUUAGGACAACCUCUUGGAAAAUAAUCAGCCUCGUGUGGAUGGCUUCAGAGCUUGGAGAACAAUCCAUGAAUAUAACAUUGUUUCUGCUGAUAGCACACGAAUACGCAAUGCUGCUUCCUUGGGUGUGUUCUUGGGACCAGAUGAGAGAAGCGCUCUGAUGAAGUGGGAUUUUGCCUGCCAUGAAUAUUUAUAGAAGAAGUCUUGGUGUCCUGAUAGUUCCUGGCACCAAAUUCUGGAAUGCAGAGCAGAAUCCUCACUAGUGGCCGGACUGCACUGCUUCCCUUACAGUGAUGCUAUAUGGGCAGCAGCUGAUGGGGCACAGCUGAACCUCCUCCUGGACCCCAUAAUUCAGCAGAGCUAUUGGCAGUGCAGUAUUGCUGACCAAAACAUGCAUUGACUGCAAUAUUCAGCGGUAGGAGAAUAUUCCUGUUGGUGUUGCUGGACUUUAGCACAGAUGUUUUCGACUUCAGAAUUCCUGGCGAGAUUGCUUCAUAUGAUGAUUCCAUUGUUCACACGUCUCAGAAAAGAAAAAAAUGUCCAUGUCUUGGAUAGUCAAAAGAUCAGACAAGUAUUUCACUCAAUGUACAACAAAAUAUUAUGAGGUGAUAGGCUGUGUUUGCCUCAGAGUACGUGAAGUGCCCCAGCCCAGUCCCCUGACUCCGCUAAGCCAAAUCCAUCACACGAUGGCAUCAACUGGAAGAAAGGAAACACAACUCCUGCAGGUGUGCCGUGGUCUUACAGAGACUGUUUUGAAGAUGAUCUGUGAAAAAAAUCAACAGGCAAGCAAGCAAUGACCGAAGAGUGGAUGGGUCUGUUUUGAGAAUGGCAACACAUCUGCAAGAGAAAAUCUGAUCCAGAAGUAAUUACAGUAUAAUCAGAGAAAAGAAGCAGCAAAAUUCAUGUUUAAUCAAGCUGGAGCGGUGCCUGCCAAUUUCCAUGCGGCCUCCUGCAACCUUGUCCUUUUUGUGAACCCUUCUUCAUCCUCUUUGCUGGAAGCUCUCAUGGUCUGGCAUGUCAAUGCAUUUGCUGUGCUACUUCAGAGACUCCUGGAAGCACACGGUGUUCCAAGAGGAACAGUCGAAGGCUGGGCUAUAGGGAUAGAGACAAGUCAGUGUGAAUCUAGCUGGAGGAAUGAAGAACUGCCUCUGUCCUUGAGCACUGGGAAGGAUUUGAAAGAAAAAGAAAAGCUAAGCUAUUUACAGCAGCAGCAGCCAAGGCACAGCUGAAUUGUGACCUCCAUAACCCUGGAAAUCUCCAGACAGAUCCUUGGAGAUGUACCUUGGUAUAGGUUAUGCUCUGUAUAAACCUGUCCUGGGAGAGAGCCUGGCGUCUGUUGAGUGCUGAGCAGAGCCAGAGAGAGGACAGAAGACCAUCCUCCUGAGUUUUCUUCUUGUGUCUGCAAGUGCUUGGAUGAAUAAAAUCAGGAAGUUCAUCCCAAGCCAUCAUUCACUCAGGAGAAGAGUAGUCAAGCUACAGGCACAGCCUGGAUGGAAGAAAAAUGGAAGUACGCAAGAAGAGCCGUUCACCACCUGCUCACAAAAAGGAACAGUCUGUCAGACUUUUAUAUCCACUGGUACAUAAAUCACAGGCAGCUGCUGUUGGAGAGCUGUCUUUGAGCCUUCCUGGAUCCUCCAAAGGCUCUUGGAUUAAGAAAGUGAGUUGUGUUCAGGUUGUGUCUACCCAGACCUUAACUGCUACCUCAGCUGUUGUUGACUCCCCGAAAAAGGAACGAAGAUCAGGGACCUGUAAAUUAAUUUCUCAA